AGAAACAGCAAAGACCCCUCCUCAUCUGUCAUGAUGUUUCCUGCCAGUAAAGCUUCCAACGUUCUUCAUACAGAACUCACACACUUGAGAACUUGGUCCCUGGACUAAAUCACUGGCAAAGAGGAAAGGACCAUCAUGGACCAUCCUUCAGAGUCAGGUACAUGGUCACCCAAAUGUGAUGCGUUCAGUAGAGAAAGGAGGAAUCAAUAUCGGUCUGCUAACCAGCAAAGUCGGCCACAAACAUUGUGCCAAGUCACCACAUAUAACAAACCAUCAGUGUUAGUAAGCUCACUUCAUUCCAUCCCAUAAGAGUUGGAGUCUCCUGGUGGUUACCCCUGCUUCUGCACAGAUGGACGCACAGGGAAGCCAGGUCACGUAUGAUGUCACACCAGAAGCUAAGUUUCCUCCAGGAAGCAACUGGAAGCAAGAGAUGUGGUGUCCUGGAAGGACAUCAUUUCCCAGGAGUCAGGCCCUAAAUGUUCAUGGUGAAGUUGCUCAGAGUGGAGCUACUCUGAGGGCCCCUCACGGCAAACACCUAUCCAGAGCCUUGGAGCCAUCCCAACAGGGCCACUGGACUCCUCGCCCUCUCCUCUGCUCCUACCCAGCCCUACCCACCCCCUGGACUGCGGCUCUCUCUCCCCGGCUGGCUCUGUCUUUGUCCUUGUUGUCCAUUCUCAGGCCUGAAUCCACUGCAGAUGGACCUCAGAUCUGCCCUUCCCCCCAAACCCUCAAUGCCCCCUGGGGCACCCAGAGAAGACCCAUGGUCCUGGUGUGCCCGCAGGUCCCGGCCUCGCCCAUCCUCCCUACCUGGCUGUUCUCAGCCACCUCACUCACCCCACUGGCUUCAAACACGCUGGCCUGCCUGGGGCCCUGACCCUGCUCUUACCCCCAUCUGGAACGUUCCUGCUCUCUCUCCCUCCCCGUCUUCUGGUCUCUUACAGCCAGGCCUUCUCGCAGUCCUAGUCAAAUGUGGCAGCACCCCGGUCCCCAUCUCUAAGUCAUGGCCCCGCGUUGAUCUGCCUCAGACACAUGGAGGCAUAGUUUAUUUAGUUAUUGAUUAUCCGCCCCACACACCUGUGUCCACUCCAGUGAGAGGAGGCUUUUCUCCUAUUUUGCCCACUGUGUGUCCAGGAUAAGAAUGACUUACCUGCAGCAGGUCCUUAAUCAGUAUUUGUUGAAUAAAUAAAUUCUCAAAAUGUCAUUAGGC
Molecule: long non-coding RNA, 1207 nt
Organism: Balaenoptera musculus (blue whale)
Lineage: Eukaryota; Metazoa; Chordata; Mammalia; Artiodactyla; Balaenopteridae
Exons: 4
Source: RefSeq, a predicted model, not a curated record